Molecule: ribosomal RNA, 253 nt
Filed under: uncultured bacterium
Lineage: Bacteria
Description: partial 16S ribosomal RNA
Rfam family: Bacterial small subunit ribosomal RNA
Source: RNAcentral
UACGUAGGGGGCAAGCGUUGUCCGGAAUCAUUGGGCGUAAAGAGCGCGUAGGCGGCCCUGUAAGUCCGCUGUGAAAGUCAAGGGCUCAACCCUUGAAUGCCGGUGGAUACUGCAGGGCUAGAGUCCGGAAGAGGCGAGUGGAAUUCCUGGUGUAGCGGUGAAAUGCGCAGAUAUCAGGAGGAACACCGAUGGCGAAGGCAGCUCGCUGGGACGGUACUGACGCUGAGGCGCGAAAGCGUGGGGAGCGAACAGG